Molecule: unclassified non-coding RNA, 240 nt
Filed under: soil metagenome
Description: partial contains 5.8S ribosomal RNA, internal transcribed spacer 2, and large subunit ribosomal RNA
Source: RNAcentral
AACCAUAGAAACCUGCGGAGUACCUGCGGAGGGAUCAUUACCGAGUGUGGCCCCAUUUUUAAAACAAAUAGGGGUACCUCCCGUCCUUUGCAGGGCCCUUUGGGGCUUUUUGAACUUUGCUUCGGCGGGUUUUAUCCCGCCGGAACACCCUCAAGAAAAUCUUUUUAAAAAUACUGUCGUCUGAGCAUUUACAAAAUAAAACAAAACUUUUAACAACGGAUCUCAGAUCGGAAGAGCACA